Long non-coding RNA from Conger conger (European conger), 940 nucleotides. RefSeq lists it as uncharacterized. The transcript has 3 exons. The record is from RefSeq and is a predicted model, not a curated record. Lineage: Eukaryota; Metazoa; Chordata; Actinopteri; Anguilliformes; Congridae.
UAGUUAUAUGCUCGUUUUGAAGUUAUUAUUAUACAUUAUUAUAUUACUGAAAAAAUCCAUUGUUUGGAAUUCAAUGACUGCUGAAUGAAUGAAUAAAUGAAUGGAAUGACUGCUCUGGAGGGACGUUGUUUAGGGAGUAUUUGUAUUUAUUUCGUAUUUAAUAGAGACUGCUCACCUUUGCAUGAUACUUCGCUGUAAAAUCUUUACCCAUUUUACUCAAUACAAUUAAGAUUGUGUUUCUGAGCACGGUGGCACCUGUCUGUUCAAUACCAUCCUGUUUUAAGUGUGGGGAUAAUUGUACCAUUAAGGACAUCAACCGAUUGGAUAAGGAUUUCGAGAAAGUGUUACCUUCUGACUUCCACCCAAGUAUCCGCAAGCACUUGGAGGCCACAUGGCAAUACGAAAUUGACUUCGAUGCCACCAGACUACCUAAGAGCAUCUGGAUUGUAAAAUGCGAGGCUUGCCGGACCCAGGCUUGCCAGACCAAGGCUUGCCAGACCGAGGUUUGCCAGACCCAUUGUCACGACAGACUUACAAUGAAGGAGAUUAAGUACAACAUAAGAGUGUAUGACAGACAGGCCUGCCAGAACCCAGAACACUUCCAACUGGUUCCAAGGACAUUCAAUGUCACUGUGGGCUGUACAUGUGUACAUUCUACAAUGUUCUCUUCCCGAAUGAGAGCGUGAGCAUUCUGUGCUCAGCAGCUCUGUCUGGGGCAGACACGUGUCACAUACAUAUUACGCGUGCUACAAUAAAUAUUAUAUAUUUAAUGUAAAAGAAUGAUAUUUUAAUAUAUCUUUCAUAUACAUUUCUAAAAUGGGAUAGGCAUAACGCAAUAAACUGUCCAGUACAUACACUGUGUGUAUUCCAAACGAUUACUCUGCUCAAUUUUACUUGAGAUCGGCUUGUAAACUUUAAAAUGUAAUCUAAUGGCAGAGAA